RNAcentral lists this ribosomal RNA (119 nucleotides) under Castor canadensis (American beaver). The record is from RNAcentral. Lineage: Eukaryota; Metazoa; Chordata; Mammalia; Rodentia; Castoridae.
AUCUAUGACCACACCACCCUAAAUGCACCCAAUCUCAUUUGAUCUCAGAAACUAAGCACAGUCUGGCCUGGUUAGUACUUAAAUGGGAGACUGACUGGGAAUAACAGGUACUGCAGGCU